Molecule: ribosomal RNA, 119 nt
Filed under: Helictotrichon convolutum
Lineage: Eukaryota; Viridiplantae; Streptophyta; Magnoliopsida; Poales; Poaceae
Source: RNAcentral
GGAUGCGAUCAUACCAGCACUAAAGCAUCGGAUCCCAUCAGAACUCCGAAGUUAAGCGUGCUUGGGCGAGAGUAGUACUAGGAUGGGUGACCUCCUGGGAAGUCCCCGUGUUGCAUCCC